UGCGCCGUAGAGCAGAUGGUAGCUCGCCGGGUUCAUAUCCCGGAGGUCGGAGGUUCGAGUCCUCCCGGUCGCAAC
RNAcentral lists this transfer RNA (75 nucleotides) under subsurface metagenome. Its description in RNAcentral is "tRNA-Met". It matches the Rfam family "tRNA". Rfam says of the family: Transfer RNA (tRNA) molecules are approximately 80 nucleotides in length. Their secondary structure includes four short double-helical elements and three loops (D, anti-codon, and T loops). The record is from RNAcentral.